UUGGAAAGUUCGAGAUGAAAU
Molecule: non-coding RNA, 21 nt
Filed under: Caenorhabditis elegans
Lineage: Eukaryota; Metazoa; Nematoda; Chromadorea; Rhabditida; Rhabditidae
Source: RNAcentral